AUGAACGCUGGCGGCGUGCCUCAUACAUGCAAGUCGCGCGAACAGACGAGGAGCUUGCUCCUCUGACGUUAGCGGCGGACGGGUGAGUAACACGUGGAUAACCUACCUAUAAGACUGGGAUAACUUCGGGAAACCGGAGCUAAUACCGGAUAAUAUAUUGAACCGCAUGGUUCAAUAGUGAAAGACGGUUUUGCUGUCACUUAUAGAUGGAUCCGCGCCGCAUUAGCUAGUUGGUAAGGUAACGGCUUACCAAGGCGACGAUGCGUAGCCGACCUGAGAGGGUGAUCGGCCACACUGGAACUGAGACACGGUCCAGACUCCUACGGGAGGCAGCAGUAGGGAAUCUUCCGCAAUGGGCGAAAGCCUGACGGAGCAACGCCGCGUGAGUGAUGAAGGUCUUCGGAUCGUAAAACUCUGUUAUUAGGGAAGAACAAAUGUGUAAGUAACUAUGCACGUCUUGACGGUACCUGAUCAGAAAGCCACGGCUAACUACGUG
RNAcentral lists this ribosomal RNA (496 nucleotides) under uncultured bacterium. RNAcentral's name for it is "partial 16S ribosomal RNA". It matches the Rfam family "Bacterial small subunit ribosomal RNA", at positions 29 to 507 of the family's 1533-position model. The record is from RNAcentral.